UAUUCUGCCCCAUGGGGAAGGAUGAGAAGCUUCGACUAAGGUUCGACUCGAGCGAAGCGAGAGAACGUUGCCGAAGGCAACGGCCCGAAGGGCGAGGCGCUUUAGCGCCGAGUAAUCCUUCCCCCACCACCA
This 132-nucleotide small RNA is filed under the name Klebsiella pneumoniae. RNAcentral's name for it is "RtT sRNA". It matches the Rfam family "RtT RNA". From Rfam's summary of the family: This family represents a bacterial cis-regulatory element known as RtT RNA. The exact function of RtT is unknown although it is thought that it may be involved in changing the cellular response in relation to amino acid starvation. Lineage: Bacteria; Pseudomonadati; Pseudomonadota; Gammaproteobacteria; Enterobacterales; Enterobacteriaceae. The record is from RNAcentral.